CAAACACACACAUAGUACCCACAAACACAACACCAUUGACAAUACACAUACACGCGCACAACCCCACAAGCAGUCUCUCAGAUGCAAUACCACAGUCAGCCCCACUCAUUAUACACCCCACCAAACAUACAUUGUGACGUAUCAUUUACACGGACACAAUUCCACAAGAAGCCCCCAAACACAACCCACAUCCACAAGUAUCAUACACAAUACCACAAACUACUCAU
Non-coding RNA from Pelobates cultripes (western spadefoot toad), 227 nucleotides. The record is from the annotation of a GenBank genome assembly. Lineage: Eukaryota; Metazoa; Chordata; Amphibia; Anura; Pelobatidae.